RNAcentral lists this long non-coding RNA (536 nucleotides) under Gallus gallus (chicken). The record is from RNAcentral. Lineage: Eukaryota; Metazoa; Chordata; Aves; Galliformes; Phasianidae.
GAUACUUAGUGGGAGGAAACUGCGCAGAAGGCAGAAAUGACUGAAAUGACGUCGAGAUGACAACACAUUUAAAAAUGAGGAAUUGAGGAGUGAGUGACCGGCUGUUUUGCUGAGCUGCUUGCCAGAAGUGCUUAAAGGACUGGCACAGUUACCUCCCAUGAACCUUCUCUUCUAUCAAGUCACAGCUGAGGAUGGUGGGGAGCACAGAAUUGCCUUCCCUCUCCCAGGAACGAGGACCAGGACAUAAAUUGCCAGACACUGAUCACAGACAAAGGACCAACAUUUUCUGAAGGACCUCAUCCAAUGGACACCGUGAGUCUUCAGUGAGCUCUGCAUCAGGCCUCUAUCAUGCUCCAGCUUAUUUCACAGGACCUAUGGCUGACCCAAGUCCUCGGCUUCCCAACCUCAGCUUUCUCAAACAAAAAACAUAAUGGAGAUAGGGAAGAAUCUCAGAAAAGUGGAAAACUCAGUUGUCACCCUGAUUAUGGAUGGAGAAGAACCUGUGAAGUUCAGGCUGAAAAAUGGGUGGAGUGUCC